Molecule: ribosomal RNA, 547 nt
Filed under: uncultured bacterium
Lineage: Bacteria
Description: partial 16S ribosomal RNA
Rfam family: Bacterial small subunit ribosomal RNA
Source: RNAcentral
UAGGGAAUCUUCGGCAAUGGACGAAAGUCUGACCGAGCAACGCCGCGUGAGUGAAGAAGGUUUUCGGAUCGUAAAACUCUGUUGGUAGAGAAGAACGUUGGUGAGAGUGGAAAGCUCAUCAAGUGACGGUAACUACCCAGAAAGGGACGGCUAACUACGUGCCAGCAGCCGCGGUAAUACGUAGGUCCCGAGCGUUGUCCGGAUUUAUUGGACGUAAAGCGAGCGCAGGUGGUUUAUUAAGUCUGGUGUAAAAGGCAGUGGCUCAACCAUUGUAUGCAUUGGAAACUGGUAGACUUGAGUGCAGGAGAGGAGAGUGGAAUUCCAUGUGUAGCGGUGAAAUGCGUAGAUAUAUGGAGGAACACCGGUGGCGAAAGCGGCUCUCUGGCCUGUAACUGACACUGAGGCUCGAAAGCGUGGGGAGCAAACAGGAUUAGAUACCCUGGUAGUCCACGCCGUAAACGAUGAGUGCUAGAUGUAGGGAGCUAUAAGUUCUCUGUAUCGCAGCUAACGCAAUAAGCACUCCGCCUGGGGAGUACGACCGCAAGGU